Molecule: ribosomal RNA, 260 nt
Filed under: uncultured bacterium
Lineage: Bacteria
Description: partial 16S ribosomal RNA
Rfam family: Bacterial small subunit ribosomal RNA
Source: RNAcentral
UACGGAGGGAGCUAGCGUUGUUCGGAAUUACUGGGCGUAAAGCGUACGUAGGCGGUUAUUCAAGUCAGAGGUGAAAGCCCGGGGCUCAACCCCCGGAAACGGCCUUUUGAAACUAGAUAGCUAGAGUCUUGGAGAGGUUAGUGGAAUUCCGAGUGUAGAGGUGAAAUUCGUAGAUAUUCGGAAGAACACCAGUGGCGGAAGGCGACUCACUGGACACAUAUUGACGCUGAGGGUGCGAAAAGCGUGGGGAGCGGAACAGG